GUUGUUUCCUGUCAUACUUGCAGUAGAAAAAUGUACGAGUUGUUCCGAAUGGUAUCACAAAUUGGAAAUUUGAUAUUCCUCUUGGAAAUAUAAACAAAUGAGGUUAAAGAUUCGAAUUCUUGAUUCUGAUUUUACUAGUUGGCAAAUAGCAAAAAGCCGAGGUCGAAAGAAAACUCCAGGAAAACGGAAAUUAGAACUACACUAUGUCGUAAUUCUAUCCGUUCUAAGUACGGAGGCCUCAACUAGCGAUUAUAGCUUUCUCGUCGGAUAGAGAUCAACAUUCGGAUAAAGAAGGAAAGCUGAAUUUAAUCCGAGUUCGAGAACUUCUGGCAGAAAAAAGUCUGCAUUUUACAUUCCCGGGACUUCGUCCAAUGUAGAAUGUGAGAGAAUCUCCAUCGUUCCAAAAGCUCGACAAUUCUGAAGGCGGAGAAUAUAAGGUGGGCGUAGUCUCGACGUUUACUCACCAAUAGCUGACUAUUGUCAAGAGUUAGCCUAAGUAUUAAAUCAUUAUAUAUGCACGACACAUCGGAAGUGCUAGUGCUUUCUUCCUAUAUGCAGCUACGGAAAUGCGUCAGGAUGGCCCAUCCGAUAGAGAUCGAUCCGUUCGUUCCGGAGCAAGAAAAGAAGAGGAACUCUUCCUUCCAGCCGGGAUCAUCCCUGGGUAACUUUGACAGAAAAGAAUGGGAAGCCAUCUAUAGUACUAGAGAGAUUAACCCUAGCUCUCGAAGUUUCCAGGAAAAAGUGUACAACUUUAUGGAUCGUCCCAAAGGCUGGAAAGCUUUCGGCUAUCACUUAGCAGUGU
Molecule: long non-coding RNA, 802 nt
Filed under: Androctonus crassicauda
Lineage: Eukaryota; Metazoa; Arthropoda; Arachnida; Scorpiones; Buthidae
Source: RNAcentral